AGAGUUUGAUCCUGGCUCAGAAUGAACGUUGGCGGCGUGGAUUAGGCAUGCAAGUCGAGCGAGAAUCUGAUUGUUGAAGCUUCGGUGGAUUCAGUCAGAGGACAGCGGCAAACGGCGUAGUAAUGCGUAGGUACGUACCCUCAGGUCGGGGAUAGCCACGGGAAACUGUGGGUAAUACCCGAUAAUGUCUGUGGACCAAAGGUGUGAUUCCGUCUGAGGAGCGGCUUACGUGAUAUUAGCUAGUUGGUGGGGUAAUGGCCUACCAAGGCAACGAUGUCUCGGGGGUGUGAGAGCAUGGCCCCCACGACCGGAACUGAGACACUGUCCGGACACCUACGGGUGGCUGCAGUCGAGAACCUUCCGCAAUGGGCGAAAGCCUGACGGAGCGACGCCGCGUGCGGGAUGAAGGCCCUUGGGUUGUAAACCGCUGUCAGAGGGGAUGAAAUCAUGGUGGGCAAUCCCUCCAUGUUGACAGAGCCUCAAAGGAAGCACGGGCUAAGUACGUGCCAGCAGCCGCGGUAACACGUACUGUGCGAACGUUAUUCGGAAUCACUGGGCUUAAAGGGUGCGUAGGCGGUUUAUCAAGUCAGAUGUGAAAUGCCUGAGCUCAACUGAGGCACUGCGUUUGAAACUGAUAGACUUGAGUAUUCCAGGGGUAUGCGGAACUGCCAGUGGAGCGGUGA
This 683-nucleotide ribosomal RNA is filed under the name uncultured Planctomycetota bacterium. RNAcentral describes it as "bacterial SSU rRNA". It matches the Rfam family "Bacterial small subunit ribosomal RNA", at positions 8 to 684 of the family's 1533-position model. Lineage: Bacteria; Pseudomonadati; Planctomycetota. The record is from RNAcentral.